Molecule: ribosomal RNA, 397 nt
Filed under: uncultured bacterium
Lineage: Bacteria
Description: partial 16S ribosomal RNA
Rfam family: Bacterial small subunit ribosomal RNA
Source: RNAcentral
AUACGUAGGGGGCGAGCGUUGUCCGGAAUGAUUGGGCGUAAAGGGCGCGUAGGCGGCGCGAUAAGUCUGGAGUGAAAGUCCUGCUUUCAGGGUGGGAAUUGCUUUGGAUACUGCCGCGCUUGAGUGCAGGAGAGGUUAUCGGAAUUCCCGGUGUAGCGGUGAAAUGCGUAGAGAUCGGGAGGAACACCAGUGGCGAAGGCGGGUAACUGGACGGCAACUGACGCUGAGGCGCGAAAGUGUGGGGAGCAAACAGGAUUAGAUACCCUGGUAGUCCACACUGUAAACGAUGUAUGCUAGGUGUAAGAGGUAUCGACCCCUUUUGUGCCGGAGUCAACACAAUAAGCAUUCCGCCUGGGGAGUACGGCCGCAAGGUUGAAACUCAAAGGAAUUGACGGGG